Molecule: ribosomal RNA, 301 nt
Filed under: uncultured bacterium
Lineage: Bacteria
Description: partial 16S ribosomal RNA
Rfam family: Bacterial small subunit ribosomal RNA
Source: RNAcentral
CAGUAGCCACGGGAACACGGAGGGUGCAAGCGUUAAUCGGAAUUACUGGGCGUAAAGCGCACGCAGGCGGUCUGACAAGUCAGAUGUGAAAUCCCCGGGCUUAACCUGGGAACUGCAUUUGAAACUGUCAGGCUGGAGUCUUGUAGAGGGGGGUAGAAUUCCAGGUGUAGCGGUGAAAUGCGUAGAGAUCUGGAGGAAUACCGGUGGCGAAGGCGGCCCCCUGGACAAAGACUGACGCUCAGGUGCGAAAGCGUGGGGAGCAAACAGGAUUAGAUACCCCGGUAGUCCCUGUCUCUUAUAA